This is a long non-coding RNA of Capsella rubella, 617 nucleotides long. RefSeq lists it as uncharacterized. The record is from RefSeq and is a predicted model, not a curated record. NCBI's taxonomy places the organism in Eukaryota, Viridiplantae, Streptophyta, Magnoliopsida, Brassicales, Brassicaceae. The transcript has 3 exons.
UUUUGAAACUUUUUUCUUUCUUUUUUUGUUAUUUUUUGGAAUUUGAAUCAAUGCCACAAAUAAUUGGAAUUCCUCUUACAAAUGUCGAUUAUUUUUCUUACUACGGUUCUAUACUAGUUGGAAGUCGACACAACGAGCAGCGAGUAUCAUUUGACACAAUAGCCCAUGAAAUAUGGAUUCCUACUUAUUACGUCCAUGGAGUACCUAAUCCUUAUUGGGGAUUUGAAUCAGAUACUUAUGAAAAGGAGUCAGGCAAACGAUGAUGAAUAGAGACUUGUUAUACGCUAAUCUUUUCUCUCUUUGGAUGAGAGAUUAUGAAUAUGCUGGAGAUGACAGAGGGGAAAUAAUGUUUGGUGCCAUGAGUGUUAACCAUUACAACACAGCAGUAGGACAUGUGCAUUAUGACGUUGUUGAGUAUUGUCAUGAAUGGAUGAUUCAUAUGUCAUUCGUUUCUGUUGGACAAAACCAAGUACAUCCUCAAGGAGUCUCCAGGAAUAUACACUAGUGUAUUUAGACCCAUGGAUUUUUCUGACCAGAAUGUUGCAUAUUUGUAAGUAUAAUUAACUACAUAUUUUGUUUAUUCGAUAAAUAUUUUUUUUUAAAAUUUAUAUAUACUA